AGGACUUCGCCCCACCGACAGGUUCCCCGACACCCAGCAGAAGAAGUGAAAUCCAUACUGAGUCUGUAGAUGUUUAGACCUUGGGGCUGGCUUCCCUGGUGCCAUCUGUCAUUCUCUUUGCUCUGCCAGAAACAGGAUUCUCUUUGUCUCUGGUUGAUCUGC
Panthera pardus (leopard) is the source of this 162-nucleotide unclassified non-coding RNA. The record is from Ensembl. NCBI's taxonomy places the organism in Eukaryota, Metazoa, Chordata, Mammalia, Carnivora, Felidae.